ACGAGGGGGCGUGGUGUGGAGGGACCGGGACUCGAACCCGCGCCUCAGUGUUCGGUCCUCUUACCAUAGAGAGGUGCGGGUAGAGCGGCUGCGGGCGCGCCGCCAAACCAUCGAGAGGCGAGGGGGAUAGAGCGGCUCCGCGCCCUCAGCGCCCCCGUGCGGGCAAGCGCGGCGGCGGCGGUUCCCAUGGAGAUGGAAGAUGGCGCCCAGGGGCCGCCAUCGCUCCUCGGCUCCGCUGCAGGUCCUGCUCUUCCUCAACGGCUGGUACUGCGCCACAUAUUUUCUCCUGGAAGCGUUCGUGUUCGUGUACAAAGUGCUGCUCCUGCCCUAUCCCGUCUCCAACUUGGUGCUGGACGUGGUGCUGCUCCUCCUCUACCUCGGCAUUGAGGCCACACGCAUCUUCUUCGGCUCCAAGGGGAACCUGUGCCAGCGGAAGGUGCCGCUGUCCCUCAGCCUGGCGCUUACAGUGCCAGCAGCUGUGCUGGCCGUGUACUACCUGCUGCUCCAGACAUAUUCCCUGCGCCUGGAAGCGUUCCUGAGCGCCAUCCUGCUCCUCUUCUAUGGCCUGGAGCUGCUCCUGGGCUUCCUGGCACUGCUCUCCUUCUCCAGCACGGAUCCCUACUGAGGACACGGCACAGGGACACAGGGAAGCAUCACCCGUGCCAGCCCCACUUCCCAGCCCUGGCAAGGGGGAGGAUCCCACCUUUCCCACCGCCCAUUUCCCCUGCUGCCAUCUGGACACAUCCCUCCCUUUCCCCACUUCCCACUUCACUCACUCCCCUCUGGACGUAUCCCUCCCACCUUUCCCCCUUUCCACUCCACUUGGACUCCUCAGAGCUUGAGCCAGCUCAAGGAAGGCAACAGGAGCGCUGUGUAAAAGACUGACAACGUCAUCUGAGUUUAUUACACAAUUCCAACCUAUCCAAAGACAAAUCUAAUCACUGCGAGCAGGAGGGGCGGCGCCUCGCCCGGGCUUCCAGGGAUUUGCUCUGCAAUUUGGGGGAUUGUCCCCCCUCCACUAUUUGGAAAGAAACUAAAAAUCUGUGGCGGUAAGUAAAAAAAAAACCCGGAGCUCUCCCGCCGAGUGCUCCCACCUCGUGGGGCUUGGGAAAAUUAGGGUGGCUUUUCCUGAAUUUGUGUUACUUGAACUUAAAAAGACUUCCAGGGCCUGGGUUUUCCCACCCGGGGGUGAUUCCAGCCCUGGAAGUCACCCGGUGUGUCCCGGCUCAUCCCGACCCUCCUGGGCUCUCUCCUUGCUGGGCUCUCGAGGGGACAUGAGGGGAUCACAGCCUGCCCUGCCUCUCCCGCUUCCUCUAAAACAAGGAAGGCUCUGCGGGAGAGGCCAGAGCCGCCGUUUGGGUGGGAAUGCUGCUGUGGGGAAUGUUGGGAUAGAGAGGGAGAC
This is an RNA transcript of Prinia subflava (tawny-flanked prinia), 1402 nucleotides long. It is a transcript of the gene named transmembrane protein 216, with no coding region annotated. The record is from RefSeq and is a predicted model, not a curated record. The transcript is spliced from 6 exons. Lineage: Eukaryota; Metazoa; Chordata; Aves; Passeriformes; Cisticolidae.